UACGGGGGGGCAAGCGUUGUUCGGAAUCACUGGGCGUAAAGGGUGCGUAGGCGGGUCUUUAAGUCAGGGGUGAAAUCCUGGAGCUCAACUCCAGAACUGCCUUUGAUACUGAAGAUCUUGAGUUCGGGAGAGGUGAGUGGAACUGCGAGUGUAGAGGUGAAAUUCGUAGAUAUUCGCAAGAACACCAGUGGCGAAGGCGGCUCACUGGCCCGGUACUGACGCUGAGGUGCGAAAGCGUGGGGAGCAAACAGG
Molecule: ribosomal RNA, 252 nt
Filed under: uncultured bacterium
Lineage: Bacteria
Description: partial 16S ribosomal RNA
Rfam family: Bacterial small subunit ribosomal RNA
Source: RNAcentral